Gasterosteus aculeatus aculeatus (three-spined stickleback) is the source of this 650-nucleotide non-coding RNA. NCBI's taxonomy places the organism in Eukaryota, Metazoa, Chordata, Actinopteri, Perciformes, Gasterosteidae. The record is from RefSeq and is a predicted model, not a curated record.
CCGCAAAUUACGUUCUGAGCGGACCAAUCACAGCACUUGCGAUCCACGUCAACUCGACUCGCAGUUAGAUUCUUUCGGAGCUGCACGUCAGGCUACGGCGGAGGGGUCUACGUAGUUACGUAGUUACUUAAUAUGUAUAUUUUCCUUUUUUCUUUCAGAUUGUUCUUUAAUGUACUGUGGUGCUCUGGUGAUACCAUCAUGUUGAUCAAAACAUUCCUGUCAUCCAGCACCAACCAAGAUCUUUGCCACUGUGAUAAGAUGACAUUCACUUCGCCCGAUGUAAGGCCUGUUCUAAAUCCAUCAAACUUCAGACGAUGGGCGAGGCUGCCCUGACCAGCCACGCAGGGGGAGCCGGCCACAAAGCGGCGGUGCGCAAGCUGAGGGAAGGGAGACUGGCUUAAAAGACCCGGAGAAGAGGAAGCGCACUCCUCCACUGAGGUUGGUGUUGUGGCUCAGCAGGAGUUCCCUCCUCCAGUCGGCCCCGUUGGUGCUGUCGCUGUGCGUCUCUUGCAAGAAGAGAACGUCAAGAUGUUUUAAACAGCUGCUCUCUUCUUGGCAUCUCUGGCUCCAUUCAUGUUUAAGGCUGGCGCAUGCUUCUGCAUCGCUGCGACUGGUUCUAAAAGUCUUGCGUGCGUUGCAGAGCAAUUCGC